GUAAAGGCAAAGGCACAGACACAGGCACAGGCACAGGCACAGGCACAGGCACAGGCACAGGCACAGGCACAGGCACAGGCACAGGCACAGGCACAGACACAGGCACAGACAAAGGCACAGGCACAGGCACAGGCACAGACAAAGGCACAGGCACAGGCAAAGGCACAGGCACAGGCACAGGCAAAGGCACAGGCACAGGCACAGGCAAAGGCAAAGGCACAGGCACAGGCACAGGCACAGGCACAGGCACAGGCACAGGCAAAGGCAAAGGCACAGGCAAAGGCACAGGCACAGGCACAGGCACAGGUACAGGUCAGGUAUUUAGUGACUUGAAGAGACACCUUGCAGUGGUCGGGAAUCAAACCCGGGUCGUGUGCUUGCAGGGUGAUGUAAUACAGUGAAUAGAACGAGGAGGAAAAGAAUCGGACAAUGGCAGCACAACUCUUCAAAUCUUUGUGAAUGCAAAACAAACAGAGAGAGAUUGAGUGAGAG
Long non-coding RNA from Clupea harengus (Atlantic herring), 492 nucleotides. The record is from Ensembl. Lineage: Eukaryota; Metazoa; Chordata; Actinopteri; Clupeiformes; Clupeidae.